RNAcentral lists this long non-coding RNA (1968 nucleotides) under Salmo salar (Atlantic salmon). RNAcentral describes it as "lncRNA (ENSSSAG00000095671.1)". The record is from RNAcentral. Lineage: Eukaryota; Metazoa; Chordata; Actinopteri; Salmoniformes; Salmonidae.
CUGUAGGUAGGUAGGUAGUACUGCUCUGGUAUAGCUGUAGAUAGGUAGUACUGCUCUGGUAGGACUGUAGGUAGGUAGUGGUGCUCUGGUAGGGCUGUAGGUAGGUAGGUAGUACUGCUCUGGUAUAGCUGUAGAUAGGUAGUACUGCUCUGGUAGGACUGUAGGUAGGUAGUACUGCUCUGGUAGUGCUGUAGAUAGGUUGUACUGCUCUGGUAGGACUGUAGGUAGGUAGGUAGUCAUUUCUGCUCUGGUAGGGCUGUAGAUAAGUAGUACUGCUCUGGUAGGGCUGUAGGUAGGUAGGUAGUACUGCUCUGGUAGGGCUGUAGGUAGGCAGUUCUGCUCUGGUAGGGCUGUAGGUAGGUAGUGGUGCUCUGGUAGGGCUGUAGGUAGGUAGGUUGUACUGCUCUGGUAGGACUGUAGAUAGGUAGUACUGCUCUGGUAGGGCUGUAGGUAGGUAGGUAGUACUGCUCUGGUAGGGCUGUAAGUAGGUAGGUUGUACUGCUCUGGUAGGGCUGUAGGUAGGUAGGUAGUACUGCUCUGGUAGGUCUGUAGAUAGGAAGGUAGUACUGCUCUGGUAGGGCUGUAAGUAGGUAGGUAGUACUGCUCUGGUAGGGCUGUAAGUAGGUAGGUAGUACUGCUCUGGUAGGUCUGUAGAUAGGAAGGUAGUACUGCUCUGGUAGGGCUGUAGGUAGGUAGGUUGUACUGCUCUGGUAGGGCUGUAAGUAGGUAGGUAGUACUGCUCUGGUAGGGCUGUAGGUAGGUAAUACUUCUCUGUUAGGACUGUAGGUAGGUCGGUAGUACUGCUCUGGUAGGGCUGUAAGUAGGUAGUUCUGCUCACGUAGGGCUGUAGUAGGUAAGUAGUACUGCUCUGGUACGCCUGGGGGUAGGUAGGUAGUACUGCUCUGGUAGGGCUGUAGGUAGGUAGUACUGCUCUGGUAGGGCUGUAGGUAGGUAGUACUGCUCUGGUAGGGCUGUAGGUAGGUAGUGGUGCUCUGGGAAGGCUGCUUCCUUUAUGACUGGAGAUCUCAUAGGAGAUGAGGCUAGGCUACGAUCAUGUCACGGCUGGUCCAACCUGUCUCUCUGACAUCCCAGCACCCUGCCUGGUUCAACCUGUCUCUCUGACAUCCCAGCACCCUGCCUGGUUCAACCUGUCUCUCUCUGACUUCCCAGCACCCUGCCUGGUUCAACCUGUCUCUCUGACUUCCCAGCACCCUGCCUGGUUCAACCUGUCUCUCUGACUUCCCAGCACCCUGCCUGGUUCAACCUGUCUCUCUGACAUCCCAGCACCCUGCCUGGUUCAACCUGUCUCUCUCUGACUUCCCAGCCCCCUGCCUGGUCCAACCUGUCUCUCUGACAUCCCAGCACCCUGCCUGAUCCAACCUGUCUCUCUCUGACAUCCCAGCAGUCAGACAGACAUCCAGACAGACAUCCAGACAGACAGUCAAACAGACAGACAUCCAGACAGACAGACAGUCAGUCAGACAGUCAAACAGACAGACAGUCAGUCAGACAGUCAAACAGACAGACAGUCAGUCAGCACAUGAAGGUGUUUUCUCAGCAGAUGUAUUUGUGUUCUCAGUAUGUAGCGUGGACAUUGCUAUAGCUCUGCUUCAGCAUUAUUACAGCGUUGCUAUAGCGUCGUUACAGCGUUGCUAUAGCGUCAUUACAGCGUUGCUAUAGCGUCGUUACAGCGUUGCUAUAGCGUUGUUACAGCGCUGCUAUAGCGUCGUUACAGCGUUGCUAUAGCGUCGUUACAGCGUUGCUAUAGCGUCUCUUUCACUUUGUUACAAAGUCAACAUCCUGAUUCCAUUAGUCAUGCUGAUUCCAUGUGUACUACCUCACCAGUCUAUGUGUACUACAUCGCCAUCCCCAUGGUGACACGACAGAGUAGACAUCUCUCUCCUUCUCCUCCCCCUUUCCCACUCCUCCUCCUCUCCCCAAGUCGUCCCCCUCCUCCUCCUCCUCCCC